Long non-coding RNA from Daphnia pulicaria, 363 nucleotides. RefSeq lists it as uncharacterized. Lineage: Eukaryota; Metazoa; Arthropoda; Branchiopoda; Diplostraca; Daphniidae. The transcript is spliced from 3 exons. The record is from RefSeq and is a predicted model, not a curated record.
GUGUAUUUUUUGUUUUGUUAUGCAAACUUGAUUUGACAGGUUUACCAUAAUUGCACCCCAGCCCAUGACCUCGGCGGAAGUAUAGGUGUCAUUCACUUCGUCGUAAUAACUGAAGUUGACGUAGAGCCCAAGGUACGCGCCUGAAUGCGGUUCUCCUCCGGAUCCUGCAGGAUUAGUGAAUAUUGGGCGAUGACCACCGCUACAUCCCAUUCCGAUCUCCUUUUUUUUUAACAGGCUGCACUGCAAGCCGGCGGUUGUUGGCCAGCAUUCCGGUUCAACCACGCAUAAUAAGAGGACAGUCGAGUAUAAAGUGUCGGCAAGAAUAGCUCUUUGCAUCCUGUAUUUCUCGAUGCAACUCCGACG